This 224-nucleotide ribosomal RNA is filed under the name uncultured bacterium. Its description in RNAcentral is "partial 16S ribosomal RNA". It matches the Rfam family "Bacterial small subunit ribosomal RNA", at positions 118 to 341 of the family's 1533-position model. The record is from RNAcentral.
UGAGCAAUCUGCCCUUCUCUUUGGAAUAAGCGUUGGAAACGACGUCUAAUGCCGAAUACGACCUCCUUUCGCAUGAUCGGAGGUGGAAAGCUCCGGCGGAGAAGGAUGAGCUCGCGGCCUAUCAGCUAGUUGGUGUGGGUAAUGGCCCACCAAGGCGACGACGGGUAGCCGGCCUGAGAGGGUGACCGGCCACACUGGGACUGAGACACGGCCCAGACCUCCUA